This 460-nucleotide ribosomal RNA is filed under the name uncultured bacterium. RNAcentral describes it as "partial 16S ribosomal RNA". It matches the Rfam family "Bacterial small subunit ribosomal RNA", at positions 338 to 795 of the family's 1533-position model. The record is from RNAcentral.
CCUACGGGUGGCAGCAGUGAGGAAUAUUGGUCAAUGGGCGCGAGCCUGAACCAGCCACGUCGCGUGAGGGAUGACUGCCCUCCGUGUUGUAAACUUCUUUUAUAAAGGAAUAAAGUGAGGCACGUGUGCCUUUUUGUAUGUACUUUCUGAGUAAGGGUCGGCUAACUCCGUGCCAGCAGCCACGGUAAUACGGAGGAUCCGAGCGUUAUCCGGAUUUAUUGGGUUUAAAGGGAGCGUAGAUGGGUUGUUAAGUCAGUUGUGAAAGUUUGCGGCUCAACCGUAAAACUGCAAUUGAUACUGGCAGCCUUGAGUACAGUUGAGGUAGGCGGAAUUCGUGGUGUAGCGGUGAAAUGCUUAGAUAUCACGAAGAACUCCGAUUGCGAAGGCAGCUUACUAAACUGCCACUGACAUUGAUGCUCGAAAGUGUGGGUAUCAAACAGGAUUAGAUACCCCUGUAGUC